CUUGCACCUUUCAAGCGAGUGGCGAACGGGUGAGUAACACGUGGAUAACCUGCCUCAAGGCUGGGGAUAACAUUUGGAAACAGAUGCUAAUACCGAAUAAAACUUAGUAUCGCAUGAUACAAAGUUGAAAGGCGCUACGGCGUCACCUAGAGAUGGGUCCGCGGUGCAUUAGUUAGUUGGUGGGGUAAAGGCCUACCAAGACAAUGAUGCAUAGCCGAGUUGAGAGACUGAUCGGCCACAUUGGGACUGAGACACGGCCCAAACUCCUACGGGAGGCUGCAGUAGGGAAUCUUCCACAAUGGGCGAAAGCCUGAUGGAGCAACGCCGCGUGUGUGAUGAAGGCUUUAGGGUCGUAAAGCACUGUUGUAUGGGAAGAAAUGCUAGAAUAGGGAAUGAUUCUAGUUCGACGGUACCAUACCAGAAAGGGACGGCUAAAUACGUGCCAGCAGCCGCGGUAAUACGUAUGUCCCGAGCGUUAUCCGGAUUUAUUGGGCGUAAAGCGAGCGCAGACGGUUGAUUAAGUCUGAUGUGAAAGCCCGGAGCUCAACUCCGGAAUGGCAUUGGAAACUGGUUAACUUGAGUGUUGUAGAGGUAAGUGGAACUCCUGGGGAACCG
This 615-nucleotide ribosomal RNA is filed under the name Leuconostoc lactis. RNAcentral describes it as "bacterial SSU rRNA". It matches the Rfam family "Bacterial small subunit ribosomal RNA", at positions 79 to 680 of the family's 1533-position model. The record is from RNAcentral. Lineage: Bacteria; Bacillati; Bacillota; Bacilli; Lactobacillales; Lactobacillaceae.